UACAGGGGGUGCGAGCGUUAAUCGGAAUUACUGGGCGUAAAGCGUGCGCAGGCGGUUAUGCAAGACAGAUGUGAAAUCCCCGGGCUCAACCUGGGAACUGCAUUUGUGACUGCAUGACUGGAGUACGGCAGAGGGGGAUGGAAUUCCGCGUGUAGCAGUGAAAUGCGUAGAUAUGCGGAGGAACACCGAUGGCGAAGGCAAUCCCCUGGGCCUGUACUGACGCUCAUGCACGAAAGCGUGGGGAGCAAACAGG
Molecule: ribosomal RNA, 253 nt
Filed under: uncultured bacterium
Lineage: Bacteria
Description: partial 16S ribosomal RNA
Rfam family: Bacterial small subunit ribosomal RNA
Source: RNAcentral